UUAUGGGCAUUAUGUUUUCUGGUCUGUGCGUCCGUUCGUUCGUCCGUCCGUCUGUCCCGCUUCAGGUUAAAGUUUUUGGUCGAGGUAGUUUUUGAUGAAGUUGAAGUCCAAUCAACUUCAAACUUGGUACACAUGUUCCCUAUGAUAUGAUCUUUCUAAUUUUAAUGCCAAAUUAAAGAUUUUACCCCAAUUUCACGGUCC
RNAcentral lists this long non-coding RNA (201 nucleotides) under Mytilus galloprovincialis (Mediterranean mussel). The record is from RNAcentral. Lineage: Eukaryota; Metazoa; Mollusca; Bivalvia; Mytilida; Mytilidae.